Molecule: ribosomal RNA, 253 nt
Filed under: uncultured bacterium
Lineage: Bacteria
Description: partial 16S ribosomal RNA
Rfam family: Bacterial small subunit ribosomal RNA
Source: RNAcentral
UACGUAGGGGGCAAGCGUUAUCCGGAUUUACUGGGUGUAAAGGGAGCGUAGACGGCGGUGCAAGCCAGAUGUGAAAGCCCGGGGCUCAACCCCGGGACUGCAUUUGGAACUGUGCUGCUAGAGUGUCGGGGAGGCAGGCGGAAUUCCUAGUGUAGCGGUGAAAUGCGCAGAUAUUAGGAGGAACACCAGUGGCGAAGGCGGCCUGCUGGACGAUGACUGACGUUGAGGCUCGAAAGCGUGGGGAGCAAAUAGG